Molecule: ribosomal RNA, 632 nt
Filed under: uncultured Basidiomycota
Lineage: Eukaryota; Fungi; Basidiomycota
Description: LSU rRNA
Rfam family: Eukaryotic large subunit ribosomal RNA
Source: RNAcentral
CCUCAAAUCAGGUAGGACUACCCGCUGAACUUAAGCAUAUCAAUAAGCGGAGGAAAAGAAACUAACAAGGAUUCCCCUAGUAACUGCGAGUGAAGCGGGAAAAGCUCAAAUUUAAAAUCUGGCGGCUUCGCCGUCCGAGUUGUAAUCUGGAGAAGCGUUUUCCGUGUUGGACCGUGUACAAGUCUCUUGGAACAGAGCGUCAUAGAGGGUGAGAAUCCCGUCUUUGACACGGACUACCAAUGCUUUGUGAUACGCUCUCGAAGAGUCGAGUUGUUUGGGAAUGCAGCUCAAAAUGGGUGGUAAAUUCCAUCUAAAGCUAAAUAUUGGCGAGAGACCGAUAGCGAACAAGUACCGUGAGGGAAAGAUGAAAAGCACUUUGGAAAGAGAGUUAAACAGUACGUGAAAUUGUUGAAAGGGAAACGCUUGAAGUCAGUCGCGUUGUCCGGGACUCAGCCUUGCUUCUGCUUGGUGUAUUUCCUGGUUGACGGGCCAACAUCGAUUUUGGACGGCGGAUAAAGGUGAGGGGAAUGUGGCAUCCUUGGAUGUGUUAUAGCCUCUCGUCGGAUGCGUCGUCUGGGAUCGAGGACCGCAGCACGCCUUUUUGGCCGGGGUUCGCCCACGUUAAGUGCUUG